This 498-nucleotide ribosomal RNA is filed under the name uncultured bacterium. RNAcentral's name for it is "partial 16S ribosomal RNA". It matches the Rfam family "Bacterial small subunit ribosomal RNA", at positions 30 to 523 of the family's 1533-position model. The record is from RNAcentral.
AUUGAACGCUGGCGGCAUGCCUUACACAUGCAAGUCGAACGGUAACAGGUCUUCGGAUGCUGACGAGUGGCGAACGGGUGAGUAAUACAUCGGAACGUGCCUAGUAGUGGGGGAUAACUACUCGAAAGAGUGGCUAAUACCGCAUGAGAUCUACGGAUGAAAGCAGGGGAUCGCAAGACCUUGUGCUACUAGAGCGGCCGAUGGCAGAUUAGGUAGUUGGUGGGAUAAAAGCUUACCAAGCCGACGAUCUGUAGCUGGUCUGAGAGGACGAUCAGCCGCACUGGGACUGGGACACGGCCCAGACUCCUACGGGAGGCAGCAGUGGGGAAUUGUGGACGAUGGGCGAAAGCCUGAUCCAGCAAUGCCGCGUGAAGGAGGAAGGCCUUCGGGUUGUAAACUGCUUUUGUACGGAACGAAAAGCCCCGGGUUAAUACCCUGGGGUCAUGACGGUACUGUAAGAAUAAGCACCGGCUAACUACGUGCCAGCCGCCGCAGUAA